Molecule: ribosomal RNA, 289 nt
Filed under: Azadinium spinosum
Lineage: Eukaryota; Dinophyceae; Gonyaulacales; Amphidomataceae
Description: partial Bacterial large subunit ribosomal RNA
Rfam family: Bacterial large subunit ribosomal RNA
Source: RNAcentral
GUGACGGAGUAGUGAAAGGACUGCGUACUGACGGAAUAGUACGUUAAAGCGUGUAGGUAUUGGCAGUGUAGGUAAAUCCGCACAGCUAGCUGAACGUGAUAGUACCGCGAGCCUUCGGGCAAGCGGAUAAUGUCCCUAAUCAGACUUCCAAGAAAAACCUCUAAGCUUCAGAUUAUUGCUACCCGUACCGCAAACCGACACAGGUAGUCAAGGAGAGAAUCCUGAGGUGCUCGAGUGAUUCAUGGCUAAGGAACUAGGCAAAAUGGCCCUGUAACUUCGGGAGAAGGGG